This 22-nucleotide microRNA is filed under the name Chrysemys picta bellii (western painted turtle). Its description in RNAcentral is "Cpi-Mir-9578_5p (mature (guide))". The record is from RNAcentral. RNAcentral also lists the same sequence under 1 other name. Lineage: Eukaryota; Metazoa; Chordata; Testudines; Emydidae.
UGGGACACAAGCAGAGCAUCUG